Molecule: ribosomal RNA, 253 nt
Filed under: uncultured bacterium
Lineage: Bacteria
Description: partial 16S ribosomal RNA
Rfam family: Bacterial small subunit ribosomal RNA
Source: RNAcentral
UACGUAGGUGGCGAGCGUUGUCCGGAUUUACUGGGCGUAAAGGGAGCGUAGGCGGAUUCUUAAGUGAGAUGUGAAAUACUCGGGCUCAACUUGAGUGCUGCAUUUCAAACUGGAAGUCUAGAGUGCAGGAGAGGAGAAUGGAAUUCCUAGUGUAGCGGUGAAAUGCGUAGAGAUUAGGAAGAACACCAGUGGCGAAGGCGAUUCUCUGGACUGUAACUGACGCUGAGGCUCGAAAGCGUGGGGAGCAAACAGG